GGACGAACGCUGGCGGCGUGCAUAACACAUGCAAGUCGAGCGAAGUGCUUAUCAUGAAAUCUUCGGAUUGAUUGAUAAACCACUUAGCGGCGGAUGGGUGAGUAACGCGUGAGGAACCUGCCUUGCACAAGGGGAUAGCCUCGGGAAACCGGGAUUAAUACCCUAUGAUACUUUGAGUUUGCAUGAACUUAAAGUUAAAGCGAUUAAGCGGUGUAAGAUGGUCUCGCGUCCCAUUAGCUAGUUGGUGAGGUAACGGCUCACCAAGGCUGCGAUGGGUAGCCGGCUUGAGAGAGUGACCGGCCACACUGGAACUGAGACACGGUCCAGACUCCUACGGGAGGCAGCAGUGGGGAAUAUUGCACAAUGGAGGAAACUCUGAUGCAGCGACGCCGCGUGAGCGAUGAAGGAAUUCGUUUCGUAAAGCUCUGUCCUAGGGGACGAUAAUGACGGUACCCUAGGAGUAAGCCCCGGCUAACUACGUGCCAGCAGCCGCGGUAAUACGUAGGGGGCGAGCGUUGUCCGGAAUUAUUGGGCGUAAAGGGUACGCAGGCGGCCAUGUAAGUCAGAUGUGAAAGAUCACGGCUUAACCGUGGUAAGCAUUUGAAACUGCUUGGCUUGAGUUAAGGAGAGGAAAGUGGAAUUCCUAGUGUAGCGGUGAAAUGCGUAGAUAUUAGGAAGAAUAUCAGUGGCGAAGGCGACUUUCUGGACUUAUACUGACGCUGAGGUACGAAAGCGUGGGGAGCAAACAGGAUUAGAUACCCUGGUAGUCCACGCUGUAAACGAUGAGUGCUAGGUGUCGGGGGUCAAACCUCGGUGCCGCCGUUAACACAUUAAGCACUCCGCCUGGGGAGUACGUUCGCAAGAAUG
RNAcentral lists this ribosomal RNA (867 nucleotides) under uncultured Clostridia bacterium. Its description in RNAcentral is "bacterial SSU rRNA". It matches the Rfam family "Bacterial small subunit ribosomal RNA", at positions 27 to 896 of the family's 1533-position model. The record is from RNAcentral. Lineage: Bacteria; Bacillati; Bacillota; Clostridia.